GACAUUGGGGCUCGGCGGCUGAAGGGGGAGGCAGCGCAGCGGAGCCUGCAGAGAGCGAGAGCUUCGCCCGCACCCGCCGCCACCGAACCACCGCCACCCCGGCACCGCCGCCAUGGUGCUCCGCACCGUCGUCACGCACGCGAAGAAGCACCCGGCCUUGAUUCCUCUGUUUGUGAUCAUUGGAUGUGGAGGUGUUGGUGCAAGCCUGUAUCUUAUGCGUUUGGCGAUGUUCAACCCUGAUGUUAGCUGGGACAAGAAAAAUAACCCAGAACCUUGGAACAAAAUGGCUCCCAAUGACCAUUGUUCUCGAUUAAUAUGGACUACAGUAGACUGAAAAAGGAUCGUCCUGACUUCUAAAAACACAACAAUGUCUGUAAGCUGGACAGAAAGGUCUUCCGGAAGCUGUUCGCACAAGUGUCAUGUUUAAUCAUCCAGGAAAUAAUUAAAUUUGCUUCACACAGCACCAGGUCCCUGGCAAUUGUUUGCUUUUGUCAAUCCGUGGCAGAGGGGAAUAAGGUCAGGAGUUGACUAAUGGCCCAGACUACAUCAGCUGAGUACUUAUAAGUGAUCUAGACUGCCAAGCAGUGUUUACAAAGUAUAAAAAAGGUGACUCAAACCUUUUCUGUUUCCCAUAUCAAAGCAAAUCUUUCACAGCUGACCUGGUAGCUGGAGCAGGGUUGAGUUUUUACAAAUUCUACAAUUUAUUAACCUGUGCUUGGGCUGAUAAUGCAUAGAGAACCAUGGGCAAAGUUAAAAUGAGAUCCUCAAAUUUAGAGCGUUUUGCCAAAUAACUGUUUUGACCACAGAGCACAGUAUGCAGUGGUCGGGCAGUAGAUGUGAUUUAUGUUGUACCUAGCAGUAGACCUCCUAAUCCUGAAGUGUAGGUGCUUGCCCCAGCAGCUGGAUGAGUCACGUAGCUGCAUUUACUGCCUCAUGGAGCUUCAACAGUCUGCUUCAGGAACAGUGGAGCACUUCUGAAUGAAGCUUAAUAUUCCAUUAUCUGACUGUGGGCACAUCAAAUGCAAAAUAAACAGUCCAGUAGUGCAUCUGAAAUUCUAUUUGGAUGUGUUUUACUGUUUCUCAGUCAUUGUAGAGGACUUUUAUGUGAAAGAAGAAUGAGCUUUUGGAGACUGUAGAAAGAGAGAUUUGUUACAGCCAAAGCAAGGAGAAUGGAGAGACAGAAACAAGCAGCCUACUCACUCAGGCAUAGGAAAGCAGAGGAUGUAAAAUGUGCAGUAGAAGUAUAAUGAAUUUCUCCAUUACAAAUUAUUGUCACAGGGAAAUGUUCUUGUACAUGAAUUCUGACAUAGAAAAUUGGAUGGAUUUUUUUGUUUGUAUGUUGCAUUUAUUGAAAAUGAGAAAAGCUCAGUGACAGCAGUAUAUGAAUGUGUAUAGAUAUAUUGCUUAAGGUCUCCAUUUUUCUUGUCUCCAGUCUUUAUUCUCUCAUCUUCUCCUCAGCUAGAUAGCCAGGGUUUCUGCUUACUACCCUGAGAAAUCCACUUCACUCAUGUAUCUUCCUCUUGUCAUGAGCUUUCUGUGAGGCUAUGCUAUUUCUGGACAUGCUGGAAUCACUGUCUACUUCUGCAUUAAAAAGAAAUAGCACCUUUUCCCAUCAACAUCUCAUUACAGCUGUGUCACAGAUUUCUGAGUAAGCAGAAAAGUUAAGUGAUCCAAGUAAAAUUUUUUAGAAUUUUCAGUAGAAAACUCACUUGAGUCCAGAAUAUUUACCAACAAAUUGAUGAUCUGAUGGAAACCUGAUCUCUCUGAAAAAGAAGAGAUCUUAUAUUGUGGGCAGAAAAAUAUCACUGUAUAUUAAAUAGAUAAAACAUUGUCACCUCUUUCAAGAUUGUGCAUGUUUUUUGGUAGCAUAAAACCAAAUAAAUUCAGUGCCAUAUACAGAAAGAAUAUAGUAAAUAUUCAACUUAAAAAUGUAAUGGUAAAGGACACAAAGGUGUUUGUAUUCUGUAUUGUUUUGGUUUCUACUGAAAGAUUGUUAAUACCAAGUAGAAUUCUUUGUAGAUCCAGAAGGGAAGCAUAUGGUAUUCCUUGUCUCAAACCAGAUUUUGUAUUAUUGUAUGAGGUACCUGUUGAAAUUAAAAGGACAUUUCCCCAUCAGCUACAGCAGGCUUUGUAUUAAGAGCCUGUUGACUAUUUUAGGUUCCAUGAGGAAGGAAGGAAUGUCCAUGAUGACAUUUUCAUAUGUCACUGUCAAAUGAAUUUUUUGAUUUUUUGGGGUUUUUUUGAUUGUUUUUCAAUGAGAUCAGCAUUUCCCUUUAGGACUGGAUUUUCAGUAGGGUUUGGUGGUGAUACAGUCAAUUUUCUUCAUAGUAGCUAGUAUGAAGCUGUGUGUUGGAUCUGUGCUGGAAACUAUGUUGGUAAGGAUGUUUUAGCUGUGGCUGAGCAGAGUUUGCUCAGUCAAGGCCUUUCCUGCUCCUCGUCUCACCAGCAAGCUGAGGCUGCACAAGGAAUUGGGAGGGGACAGAGCUGGGACAUCUGAUCUGAACUGACCAAAGGGGUAUUUGACACCAUUUGGCAUCAUACACAGCAUGUAAGGCUUGGGAAGAAGAAGAAAGAGUGGGAUGUUCAGAAUGAUAGUGUUUAUCUUCCCAAGUAAUAACCAUCCAGGUGUGCUGGAGCCCUGUUCUUGUGGCAUGGUUGAAUACCUACCUGCCCAAGGAAGCAGUGAAUUAAUUCCUCCUUUGUGACUUCUCUUCUACCUAUUACACUGUCUGUAUCUCAACCUAUGAGUCUUUUUGUUUUUACUCUUCUGAUUCUCUCUCCCGUCCCACCAAGGGAAAAUGAGAGAGAUAUGGAACUUGGUUGCUGGCUGGGGUUAAACCCAUGAUAGGUAGAGAUUGUUCAUAAAAGCUGCUUUACAAAUCCAAGAUGUCAGAGAGGACUCUUAGAGCUACUUCAUAUAUUUACUAUUUUGUACAGGCACACAAAUACAUUUAACAUUAGCAAGUUCCGUUGUCAUGCAAUUUUUUGACUCAGUGACUUUAAUUCUGUGGAAUGCAUACUAUUUUGCAUUUUAUCUCUGUCCCCUAAAUCAAAUAAACCUUGCAUUUUUUAAGCAAUCUUGACUAUAUUAAUUUUCUUUGGACUAAUUAAUGCAUGCAACUUCCAACAGAGAAGAAAAAUUAACUUGUGAUUUCUAGUGAGAGGUGUAUUUGGAUGUUCUGGCUGAUGCUGUCAAUUAAAGGACCACACAGCUUGCUUUGAAGUACCCCUCAGCCUUAAGGAAAUUUGUUCAGCAAAGUCCUGUGCCUCACAGCAGUGUGACUUUGGGCAAACAAGCCUGUUUUUCACACUAGUAGCAGUCCAGCCAUGACCACAGCACAUGGCAUCUGCUCAAGCCAGCAGAGGUACUCGCACUGCUGUAAGGCCAUGGCUGCUGGUGCCCAGGCUUUCUGAGAGCCAUCUCAAUUGCUGCAGUGCAGCACUGCCCUCUGUCUUGUGAAUGUAUGUGCUCAGGAAUAUAUUUUAUGAUUUUAAAGGGCAAGACUGAAGGUCUUAGACCAUUGCAUGAAAAAAGAACCACGUGAAUUCUGUGUUUUCAUGCUUGCAAACUACAAAAUAUAAAGAGGACAAAGAACAUUCAUAACAAGUAAGUGUUUUUUUUUUCUUUUUUUUUUUGUUUACAGCUGUGAGUGUAAGUACUUUUUACCAAAAUGUGCACAUAUAUGCACACAGGGCAUGUUUGAUAUAUAGAUAUAGUACACACACAUUAAAUAUUUUUUAAUAUUUGCCCUUCAGGUGAUGUGUUCCACAUUAAUUAAUAUAGUGACAUUCACGUAGCCACUACAGAGCUUACAUAGCUUGUGAUAAUUAAAUGGCAUAUGAUCUUCUCUACUUCAUGAGCAUGGUGUGUCCUUUUGCAGCUGAAUCUCUACAGGGUCAUCUGUCCUUAAAGGAGAGUCCCUCAUGUUGGGGAAGCAGAAGGCAGAUUUCUCAGCUGAGCUCUGUGUUGCCGGGGCUGGAAGUGGUCCACCAAGUGCUGUGCCAGCCCUUCAAGCCCUUCCAGCUGCACCUACAUCUGUGCAUCAUUACAGCAGCAGAGGCUACUGAACUCACCCAGUGGCUGUUUGUGAGCAGCUCUCUUGCCACUUCAUUGCCUGGAAAGGAA
RNAcentral lists this long non-coding RNA (4126 nucleotides) under Taeniopygia guttata (zebra finch). Its description in RNAcentral is "lncRNA (ENSTGUG00000028926.1)". The record is from RNAcentral. Lineage: Eukaryota; Metazoa; Chordata; Aves; Passeriformes; Estrildidae.